UUUCUUUGCAAAUUAAGAUUAGAAUUGCUCUUUUCGAAGGUGGCAUUGUCGCUUACUACAUGUGCUGAUUAAUCCUUAAACACUUUUCAAGGAUCUUUUAGCUGCCAAAGAUUCCAAAAAGCGUUUCUGGGUUUUGUUUCAUUUUCCUGUUCCCCUUAAGAUUGUUUCUUGUCAUCUUCAAAAACUUAGCUAAAGCUCAAAAUUUAAUUUCAC
Molecule: unclassified non-coding RNA, 213 nt
Filed under: Hevea brasiliensis (rubber tree)
Lineage: Eukaryota; Viridiplantae; Streptophyta; Magnoliopsida; Malpighiales; Euphorbiaceae
Source: RNAcentral